UUUGAUUAGUUUCAGUUCUGAGUAAGUUCUUAAGUGAUGGGGUCAAGGGUUUUGACUUGGGUUGGGCUUGAAAGAAAACAAACCCUAGCCCAAGAGAGGGGACGCAGGCUAUGAAGGGUCUUGGGAGGGAAAGGGUUUCUUUUCACACUAUUCUGAAGAAAGAAACCUUGAACACUUCUGAAACACGUAAAACAGAGGAGAAAGAGUGAGAGAAACUUUCCCCUUGCACCCUAGCCGUCACCGUCCCAAGCCCCACCACCGUCGACGUGUUCGCGCAAGGGAGAGAAGGAGUUUGCGAGUGAGAGGGAGAGAGGAAGGUCACGCGUGGGAGAAGAGGAGAGAAACCAGAACCUUGCUCUUCACUUUCAUCUUUUCUUCAAGCCUAAGGACAAAGAUGGUCGUGAAGAUAAUGGCGAUGACUCAUUCUUGGGAGUUGAUGCUACGUGACGUGCCAAUACCGGAGGACGACUACACUUCAGAGGAAGAGGCUAAGGAAUAGGGUUUGGGUUGAGAGUCUUUUGUUUUCUGUUGGGGUUGAGAGUUUCCGAAGUGUUGGUAUCGAACAAUUUUAUUGCUUAAAUUCGAAUGAACAAGUUUUGAUGUAAUCUUUAUUUUCAUUCAGGCCUUUGAUUCGUA
This is a long non-coding RNA of Lotus japonicus, 636 nucleotides long. RefSeq lists it as uncharacterized. The transcript has 2 exons. The record is from RefSeq and is a predicted model, not a curated record. NCBI's taxonomy places the organism in Eukaryota, Viridiplantae, Streptophyta, Magnoliopsida, Fabales, Fabaceae.